AUUGAACGCUGGCGGCAGGCUUAACACAUGCAAGUCGAGCGGUAGCACAGGGGAGCUUGCUCCCUGGGUGACGAGCGGCGGACGGGUGAGUCAUGUCUGGGAAACUGCCUGAUGGAGGGGGAUAUCUACUGGAAACGGUAGCUAAUACCGCAUAACGUCGCAAGACCAAAGAGGGGGACCUUCGGGCCUCUUGCCAUCAGAUGUGCCCCGAUGGGAUUGGCUAGUAGGUGGGGUAAUGGCUCACCUAGGCGACGAUCCCUAGCUGGUCUGAGAGGAGGACAAGCCACACGGGAACUGAGACACGGUCCAGACGCCUGCGGGAGGCUGCAGUGUGGAAUAGUGCACAAUGGGCGCAAGCAUGAUGCAGCGAUGGCGCGUGUGUGAAGGAGGCCUUCGGGUUGUGAAGCACUUUCAGCGAGGAGGAAGGUGGUGAGCUUAAUACGUUCAUCAAUUGACGUUACUCGCAGAAGAAGCACCGGCUAACUCCGUG
This 490-nucleotide ribosomal RNA is filed under the name uncultured bacterium. Its description in RNAcentral is "partial 16S ribosomal RNA". It matches the Rfam family "Bacterial small subunit ribosomal RNA", at positions 29 to 507 of the family's 1533-position model. The record is from RNAcentral.